Molecule: ribosomal RNA, 565 nt
Filed under: uncultured bacterium
Lineage: Bacteria
Description: partial 16S ribosomal RNA
Rfam family: Bacterial small subunit ribosomal RNA
Source: RNAcentral
UAGGGAAUCUUCCACAAUGGGCGAAAGCCUGAUGGAGCAACGCCGCGUGAGUGAGGAAGGCUUUCGGGUCGUAAAGCUCUGUUGCCAGGGAAGAAUAAGGAUCAUUUAACUGAUGAUCCGAUGACGGUACCUGAGAAGAAAGCCCCGGCUAACUACGUGCCAGCAGCCGCGGUAAUACGUAGGGGGCAAGCGUUGUCCGGAAUUAUUGGGCGUAAAGCGCGCGCAGGCGGCUCUUUAAGUCUGGUGUUUAAGUGCGGGGCUCAACCCCGUGACGCACUGGAAACUGGGGAGCUUGAGUGCAGAAGAGGAGAGCGGAAUUCCACGUGUAGCGGUGAAAUGCGUAGAGAUGUGGAGGAACACCAGUGGCGAAGGCGGCUCUCUGGACUGUAACUGACGCUGAGGCGCGAAAGCGUGGGGAGCAAACAGGAUUAGAUACCCUGGUAGUCCACGCCGUAAACGAUGAGUGCUAGGUGUUGGGGGUAUCAUGCCCUCGGUGCCGAAGUUAACACAUUAAGCACUCCGCCUGGGGAGUACGGUCGCAAGACUGAAACUCAAAUGAAUUGAC